GACACUGUUUUAUACAAGAAACCAUCCUUGAAAAACAUGCCACCAAUAUUCUCAAAGUAUUCUCCAGUAAUGGGAUCACGUCUGCGCUCUACACGGAUAUGCAACUCUCUAGCUUCAUCAAUAUUCAUAAAACGAGGUGGAGGAACAAAUGCCUUCUUCUUAGCAACUUCUCUCCCUUCCAAUUUAUUUGCAAGAGCCUGUAGGUCUAUCCGUGGAAUCAGUUU
RNAcentral lists this unclassified non-coding RNA (224 nucleotides) under Hevea brasiliensis (rubber tree). Lineage: Eukaryota; Viridiplantae; Streptophyta; Magnoliopsida; Malpighiales; Euphorbiaceae. The record is from RNAcentral.